GACGAACGCUGGCGGCGUGCUUAACACAUGCAAGUCGAACGGAAAGGCCCUGCUUGCAGGGUACUCGAGUGGCGAACGGGUGAGUAACACGUGGGUGAUCUGCCCUGCACUUCGGGAUAAGCCUGGGAAACUGGGUCUAAUACCGGAUAGGAGCCAUUUUUAGUGUGGUGGUUGGAAAGUUUUUUCGGUGUAGGAUGAGCUCGCGGCCUAUCAGCUUGUUGGUGGGGUAAUGGCCUACCAAGGCGGCGACGGGUAGCCGGCCUGAGAGGGUGGACGGCCACAUUGGGACUGGGAUACGGCCCAGACUCCUACGGGAGGCAGCGGUGGGGAAUAUUGCACAAUGGGCGCAAGCCUGAUGCAGCGACGCCGCGUGGGGGAUGAAGGCCUUCGGGUUGUAAACUCCUUUCGCUAGGGACGAAGCUUUUUGUGACGGUACCUAGAGAAGAAGCACCGGCUAACUACGUG
This 465-nucleotide ribosomal RNA is filed under the name uncultured bacterium. RNAcentral describes it as "partial 16S ribosomal RNA". It matches the Rfam family "Bacterial small subunit ribosomal RNA", at positions 28 to 507 of the family's 1533-position model. The record is from RNAcentral.